This 73-nucleotide transfer RNA is filed under the name Ignavibacteriales bacterium. RNAcentral's name for it is "tRNA-Gln". It matches the Rfam family "tRNA". Rfam says of the family: Transfer RNA (tRNA) molecules are approximately 80 nucleotides in length. Lineage: Bacteria; Pseudomonadati; Ignavibacteriota; Ignavibacteria; Ignavibacteriales. The record is from RNAcentral.
UGCCCUGUGGUGUAAUUGGCAACACGCCUGACUCUGGAUCAGGAGAGUCCAGGUUCGACCCCUGGCGGGGCAG